Molecule: long non-coding RNA, 638 nt
Filed under: Diabrotica virgifera virgifera (western corn rootworm)
Lineage: Eukaryota; Metazoa; Arthropoda; Insecta; Coleoptera; Chrysomelidae
Description: uncharacterized LOC126886878
Source: RNAcentral
ACGACCAACCAACGACCUCGCUUCGGCCAUCUUGGCAUCUUCAUCUUGGCGACCUUGGCUUGCCGUGGAUUGUUUUUAGUUGUUUGUAUUAUUUGUGCUUUUUAAGAAUAUUUUUUUAAUUCGGAUACUUUUAUAAUAGCUUUAAUAGUAUUAUUAACAUAGUGCAUAAAAUGGUGUCCUGUUUUUAACGCAGUUGGAGUAGCAGAAACAAAUGUAGAUAAAAAAAUCUGCAGGAAUAACGUUUCAAUUAUGACAGAAGCUCAAAACAAAUGACUGUGAAUGAAAAGCCCUAUUAAAAGCUUUCCAGAAGAUCCUGCGAAGAAGACAUGAAGUAUAGAUCAGAUUUGUUAAUAGAGGAGUAUGUUCAAAACACUUUUUAGAAAAAGAUAUUGACAGAACUUCACUUUCAUCUGUUCGUUUGAGAGACUGUGCUGUUCCAAUAGCUUAUGUCACACAGAAUCAGCUGAGAGAAGUGGUCUACAAAAAACCAGAAAGUAAACGGAAUAUGUGGCUACGAAAAGCAAAAGAAAGGUUUACAAAGCAAAUGUGACACAUUUUUUUAUAAUAUUUAGGAAUGUCAGCAAAUUACAUUAAAAAAUGUAUGUAAAGAUUUUUUGCAAUAAAAAUGUUUAUAUUUA